RNAcentral lists this ribosomal RNA (429 nucleotides) under Chloroflexota bacterium. Its description in RNAcentral is "Chloroflexi bacterium partial 16S ribosomal RNA". It matches the Rfam family "Bacterial small subunit ribosomal RNA", at positions 355 to 776 of the family's 1533-position model. Lineage: Bacteria; Bacillati; Chloroflexota. The record is from RNAcentral.
UGGGGAAUAUUGCACAAUGGGCGCAAGCCUGAUGCAGCCAUGCCGCGUGUGUGAAGAAGGCCUUCGGGUUGUAAAGCACUUUCAGCGGGGAGGAAGGCGUUAAGGUUAAUAACCUUGGCGAUUGACGUUACCCGCAGAAGAAGCACCGGCUAACUCCGUGCCAGCAGCCGCGGUAAUACGGAGGGUGCAAGCGUUAAUCGGAAUUACUGGGCGUAAAGCGCACGCAGGCGGUUUGUUAAGUCAGAUGUGAAAUCCCCGGGCUCAACCUGGGAACUGCAUCUGAUACUGGCAAGCUUGAGUCGCGUAGAGGGGGGUAGAAUUCCAGGUGUAGCUGUGAAAUGCGUAGAGAUCUGGAGGAAUACCGGUGGCGAAGGCGGCCCCCUGGACGAAGACUGACGCUCAGGUGCGAAAGCGUGGGGAGCAAACAGG